Molecule: long non-coding RNA, 1187 nt
Organism: Eriocheir sinensis (Chinese mitten crab)
Lineage: Eukaryota; Metazoa; Arthropoda; Malacostraca; Decapoda; Varunidae
Exons: 3
Source: RefSeq, a predicted model, not a curated record
AGCGAAAUUUUUGAGUCGUGAGUGAAAGGGUGGAAAACAUUAGGGUUUGGAGGUGCCAAAUGUAUCAAUUUUUAAGAGUUGGGGGAGCGUUGGAAGUGAGCCAAAAGUAAAUUUGAGUUUCUCUUGUCCCGUGGCCAGCAUGGUGCAGCAGGCAGCCAAGGUGGCGGUGGCGAGCGUGGUGGUGGCUGCGCUUUGCCUGAUGACGGUGCCGCAAACACGUGCCGAGGAACGCCAAGACAGGUGUAGGUACAACUUGGGCGCAGGCGAAAGGCAGACCAUCUCCUCAUCUCUACCUGGCUCUGGCAGACCCUCUGGCAGAGACGUCUUCAAAUCAUCCUCCAGAAGGUGCUCGAAUUACAACUUCACUUGUGUGGGCGGCCGCCUCACCAUUUCUUUCAGCGAAACGGUGAGAUGCGCGAUCGGAAGUCUUAUUGCCAUUUUCGAUGGGAGAAAUGUGAGGGUGUGUGAUAGCUUCUCAAGCACCCUCCAAACCAGUGGAAGCUCCUUAAGGGUCUUAGCCAGCCGCCGUGGUGGCUCUGGUGGUCACGGAGGACGCAGCUUAAGUGCGAGCAGCGAGAGUGGGGAUGUGGGCAGGAGACAUGGCUCUGGAGGACAUAGUUCUGGAGAACAUGGCUGUAAAGGCGACUGCUAUAAAUUCACAGUGGAGUGCAUUGUUGAAACCACAACCUCUUCCACUUCCAGCACUACCACUACCACUACCACUACCACUACCCCUACCACUACCACUUCCGGUUAGACCUAUUACCUGCCACCAUCACUACCACCACCACCACAACGCCACUACCAAGAAGACGCCACCCCCACUACCAACCACCCAACCAGUAGUGCGGACCCCACUAUCGCCCUUUAGACUUACCACCACCAUCACGUCUACUGCCGCUACUACCACCAUGAUGACGAUGACAAGGCAAGAGGAAAGUAUGAUGAUUGGCACGAUGAAAAUUGUGGUGGUGGUUGUUUAUUAAUUGGGGUAUUUGAUCAUGGCGCCGCAACCACCAUGGACACAUAGCGCUGGUGGUGGUGGUGGUGGUAAAGAUAUUUUUUGUUGAUGAUAAAAUCACCGGAUUUUUUUUUUUUUUUUUUUUUUUUGACUGAUGUACCCAUGAAACCCUGCACGUUUUGCACUUUCAAAUAUAUCAUAAUAGCAUGAGACGUUUUGUUUGAUU